RNAcentral lists this ribosomal RNA (513 nucleotides) under uncultured bacterium. Its description in RNAcentral is "partial 16S ribosomal RNA". It matches the Rfam family "Bacterial small subunit ribosomal RNA", at positions 28 to 523 of the family's 1533-position model. The record is from RNAcentral.
GACGAACGCUGGCGGCGUGCCUAAUACAUGCAAGUCGAGCGAACAGAGAAGGAGCUUGCUCCUUCGACGUUAGCGGCGGACGGGUGAGUAACACGUGGGCAACCUACCUUGUGUUUGGGAUAACUCCGGGAAAACGGGGCUAAUACCGAAGAAUCUGUUUCACCUCAUGGUGAAACACUGAAAGACCGUUUCGGCUGUCGCUAGAGGGAGGGCCGGCGGCGCAUUGGGUAGGUGGUGAGGUAACGGAUAACCAAGGCGACGAUGCGUAGCCGACCUGAGAGGGUGAUCGGCCACACUGGGACUGAGACACGGCCCAGACUCCUACGGGAGGCAGCAGUAGGGAAUCUUCCACAAGGGGCGAAAGCCUGAUGGAGCAACGCCGCGUGAGUGAAGAAGGAUUUCGGUUCGUAAAACUCUGUUGUAAGGGAAGAACAAGUACAGUAGUAACUGGCUGUACCUUGACGGUACCUUAUUAGAAAGCCACGGCUAACUACGUGCCAGCAGCCGCCGUAA